RNAcentral lists this ribosomal RNA (253 nucleotides) under uncultured bacterium. Its description in RNAcentral is "partial 16S ribosomal RNA". It matches the Rfam family "Bacterial small subunit ribosomal RNA", at positions 524 to 776 of the family's 1533-position model. The record is from RNAcentral.
GACAGAGGGUGCAAACGUUGCUCGGAAUUACUGGGCGUAAAGCGCGUGUAGGUGGAUUGGUGUGUCAGAUGUGAAAUCCCUGGGCUCAACCCAGGAACUGCACCUGAAACUACCGGUCUUGAGUGGUGGAGAGGGAAGUGGAAUUCCUGGUGUAGAGGUGAAAUGCGUAGAUAUCUGGAGGAACACCGGUGGCGAAGGCGGCAUCCUGGACCAAUACUGACGCUGAGGAGCGAAAGCCAGGGGAGCAAACGGG